AAGCUCGUAGUUGGAUUCUGCUGAAGCAACCGGUCCGCCCUCUGAGUGAGCAUCUGGUUUUGCUUUGGCAUAUGCUUAGACUUUGCAGCUGCACUUGACUGUGUGGUGUAAAGGCUGAGCCUUUUACUUUGAGGAAAUCAGAGUGUUUCAAGCAGGCCAUCGCCUUGAAUACACUAGCAUGGAAUAAUAUGAUAUGACUGUGGUUUUAUUUUGUUGGCUUUUAGAAUUAGAGUAAUGGUUAAUAGGGAUAGUUGGGGGCAUUCAUAUUUAACUGUCAGAGGUGAAAUUCUUGGAUUUGUUAAGGAUGAACGACUGCAAAAGCAUUUGCCAAGGAUGCUUUCAUUGAUCAAGAACGAAAGUUAGGGGAUCGAAGACAAUA
Molecule: ribosomal RNA, 379 nt
Filed under: Neoceratium sp. VC1
Lineage: Eukaryota; Dinophyceae; Gonyaulacales; Ceratiaceae
Description: SSU rRNA
Rfam family: Eukaryotic small subunit ribosomal RNA
Source: RNAcentral